UAAGUGGGAGCUUCGGCGCA
This 20-nucleotide small RNA is filed under the name Arabidopsis thaliana (thale cress). RNAcentral describes it as "Ath_wt_12696". Lineage: Eukaryota; Viridiplantae; Streptophyta; Magnoliopsida; Brassicales; Brassicaceae. The record is from RNAcentral.